Long non-coding RNA from Cyprinus carpio (common carp), 1854 nucleotides. RefSeq lists it as uncharacterized. NCBI's taxonomy places the organism in Eukaryota, Metazoa, Chordata, Actinopteri, Cypriniformes, Cyprinidae. The record is from RefSeq and is a predicted model, not a curated record.
GGACAAAUCUGAAUCAGUGUUCUGUCUUUAUACAUCCCUAUACCAGUAGGUGACGCGAAUAAGUGACUUUUCGUGUAUUAUGAGUGAGUUCGAUCAUUCACAAACGAUUCGUUCAAACACUGAUUCAUUCAGAAACGCCACAAACAUGUGUUGCUCGAGGAAAGGCGAUGGAUGAUUCUGAUGUGGUUCCAGAUAAAUGUUGUGUACAAAAUGUACGAUCUGGCUCUUUCUUUGACAAUAAUAUCCAAAGACAUCCACCGUGCAGGAGCAGAAAUGAAGUCAGUCUUCACUGAAAUUCCAUGCCGUAAUCGUCCCGUUCCUCAGAAGCCAAAGAAUUCAGACGGCAAAGCAGAUGAGUGAUUGUUUCGGAUAUACUCUCAACUAACACAACUGUGCCAGGAUUAUGGGCCUCUUUUAAGUUCUCAAGCGUCAGCUGUGUAUUGACCUUCAGCACAACAGGAAACCCCCAGAGUGCCAUGAACCAGAAAGCCAGAGUCCUUAGCUGGAAAGCACAUAAAGGGAUAGUUAACCCAAAAUUAAAUGAAAAAUUCUGUCAUUAUUUACUCACCAAAAUGCUUUCUUUUCUCUGUAGAAAACAACAUUUGAAUGUCUCAGCAGCUUUCUUCCAUACAGCUCCUUCUCAAAUUCAAACUCCUCAAAAAGAGCAAAAAAGCUCCAUAAAAUUACAGAAAAUCUUGCUUGACAGCGAUGGUCACCAUUUGCUUUUCUUCUAUGGAGCAACUUAUAAAUUAAUAGAACUUUUUGUGUGUGUGUGUGUUCCACAGAAGAAAUGUUUUUAUAUGACAAAGAAAUUUUUUAUAUGACAAGACAUGAGGAUCAAUAAAUAAUGACAGAGUUUUGUAUUUUUCUGUGAUCCGUCCCUCAGACUUAGUGGUUUAGAAUGAAGAAUCUUGUUGUUUGCUAUUGUAGUUUGCAUGAACAUUGCAAUAAAUCUUUUAACUUUAGAGGUACGCAGGCCAUUUUAGACUCUUUUGGGAUGUGCAGAAUGGCCGUGAAAUUAAUCCCUGGUCCUCCUAGUAUAAAACACAUGCUUGACAAGUGGAUUACUACCAACAGAUGGCAUUGGACUAGUCUUGCUCCCAAACAUCAAGAAUUUAGCAAGCAUAGACUGGUCCCUAAUUUGAAUAAAAGGAAUAAUAACAAAAUAUGGCUAGAAGAGGCUAAAGCUUGUUCAGUUAGCCCUUUGUGGAGCUAAUUACAAAAAAAAAAUAACUCAUUUAUGCUCCCUGACCCAUUCACUUUUACAGACGGGUAGCAAAGAAUGAACUAGAUGAAGUGCAAUUGAGUGGAACAGAAUGCAGGAUUCCCGGGGUGUGCUUUAAAUGUUUAUUUUUUAGCUCUUUUUAAUUUGACAGUCUCCUAGAGGAAAAAAAGAAAAUUGGCCAAAGUCAUCCAUUUAGUGCAUGUUUACAUAGUUUAUGAAACAGCUUUUAUUUAUGCACAUAUCAUAGAGCACAUAUCAAGCAGACAAUGUAAAGAUCCACCAUCAAAAUUUAAGAAUUUUUAGUCUAGUAGCAUUUACAGUAUUUAUUUAAAUAUCUUUAAAAACUUUUUUCCAAAAUUAUUAUAGCACUGUGGCCCACAAAUGCUAGUAUAUUCCCAUUUCAUAGUUUUGUUGCAUCUUAACAACUGGAUGUCAUUAAUUUUCAAUGAGACACCUGUGCCAGGGACCGUUUUAAGUAGAAACAUUAUGCAAAUGAGGAGCAGAAAGAUUCACUGACUAACUAUAUUUUGAUGCAGCUGGAUACCACAUCUCAAUAGUACUGCCUACUAGAGACAAACAUCUUGUUAACUCCAGCAUUUCAUUCACUGUUAAGGUCUUUGCAAACUGAG